GACGAACGCUGGCGGCGUGCUUAACACAUGCAAGUCGAGCGGUAAGGCCCUUUCGGGGGUACGACGAGCGGCGAACGGGUAGAGUAACACGUGGGUGACCUGCCCUCAGCUCUGGGAUAAGCCUGGGAAACCGGGUCUAAUACUGGAUAUGACUCCAUGACGCAUGUUGUGGGGUGGAAAGCCUUGUGCGGCUGAGGAUGGGCCCGCGGCCUAUCAGCUUGUUGGUGGGGUGANGGCCUACCAAGGCGACGACGGGUAGCCGGCCUGAGAGGGCGACCGGCCACACUGGGACUGAGACACGGCCCAGACUCCUACGGGAGGCAGCAGUGGGGAAUCUUGCGCAAUGGGCGAAAGCCUGACGCAGCGACGCCGCGUGAGGGA
RNAcentral lists this ribosomal RNA (381 nucleotides) under uncultured bacterium. Its description in RNAcentral is "bacterial SSU rRNA". It matches the Rfam family "Bacterial small subunit ribosomal RNA", at positions 28 to 408 of the family's 1533-position model. The record is from RNAcentral.